CCUACGGGUGGCAGCAGUGAGGAAUAUUGGUCAAUGGGCGCUAGCCUGAACCAGCCAAGUCGCGUGCAGGAUGACUGCCCUAUGGGUUGUAAACUUCUUUUAUAGGGGAAUAAAGUUCAGUACGUGUACUUCUUUGCAUGUACCUUAUGAAUACGGAUCGGCUAACUCCGUGCCAGCAGCCGCGGUAAUACGGAGGAUUCGAGCGUUAUCCGGAUUUAUUGGGUUUAAAGGGAGCGUAGGCGGGGGGUUAAGUCAGGUGGUAAAGUUUGCGGCUAAACCGUAAGAUUGCAGUUGAUACUGGUAGACUAGAGUACAGAAGAGGUAGGCGGAAUUAGUGGUGUAGCGGUGAAAUGCUUAGAUAUUACUAAGAACUCCGAUUGCGAAGGCAGCUUGCUAAACUGCAACUGACGCUGAUGCACGAAAGCGUGGGUAGCAAACAGGAUUAGAUACCCGAGUAGUC
This 460-nucleotide ribosomal RNA is filed under the name uncultured bacterium. RNAcentral's name for it is "partial 16S ribosomal RNA". It matches the Rfam family "Bacterial small subunit ribosomal RNA", at positions 338 to 795 of the family's 1533-position model. The record is from RNAcentral.